This 323-nucleotide long non-coding RNA is filed under the name Mustela putorius furo (domestic ferret). RNAcentral describes it as "lncRNA (ENSMPUG00000031344.1)". The record is from RNAcentral. Lineage: Eukaryota; Metazoa; Chordata; Mammalia; Carnivora; Mustelidae.
UAAUUGUGGUACAGUCAAGUGGGGUGCAUUAGGGGUUUCUCGUUAGCAGCAUAGGGCAAAGUUUUGGGGUUUCUCGUUAGCAGCAUAGGGCAAAGUUUUUCUUCUGGAAGGUAGGCAGAGUGCUGCAUUGUGGCUCCGGAAUUCCCAAACUGGAGGGCUUGUGGGCCAGGAGUGUGAGGACGGAAGUCUGAGAACACAAGCUAGGCUUAGGUUUCGAGGCGAGGGCACAGCAGGAACACUCUGAAGAGCUGAAUCGAGAUCUCGUGCAUUUGAAGUCAGGGAAGGAUCAGACGUUGGCUCAGGCUGGAGUUUCUGUCCAUGAU